AACGAACGCUGGCGGCAGGCUUAACACAUGCAAGUCGAGCGCGUGGCAACACGAGCGGCAGACGGGUGAGUAACGCGUGGGAAUCUACCGGACCCUACGGAAUAACGCAUGGAAACGUGUGCUAAUACCGUAUACGCCCUACGGGGAAAGAUUUAUCGGGGUUUGAUGAGCCCGCGUUGGAUUAGCUAGUUGGUGGGGUAAAGGCCUACCAAGGCGACGAUCCAUAGCUGGUCUGAGAGGAUGAUCAGCCACAUUGGGACUGAGACACGG
Molecule: ribosomal RNA, 270 nt
Filed under: uncultured bacterium
Lineage: Bacteria
Description: partial 16S ribosomal RNA
Rfam family: Bacterial small subunit ribosomal RNA
Source: RNAcentral